This 1161-nucleotide long non-coding RNA is filed under the name Anas platyrhynchos platyrhynchos (common mallard). RNAcentral describes it as "lncRNA (ENSAPLG00000023134.1)". The record is from RNAcentral. Lineage: Eukaryota; Metazoa; Chordata; Aves; Anseriformes; Anatidae.
AUGGGGAAAAAAAAAAAUCCUAAAAGACUUCAUGCUGGCUGGUAUUUAAUUUUGGAGCAGAACAAAAGCCACGGUGCUGUCCCUUGUUGGGUUGUAUGGCACGGACACCACUCUGGUGGAGACGGUGAGCAUGUCCAGCUGGCACCAGCAUCAUUUUUGGGUAUGGCACCAGCACAAUUUUUGGGAAGUGGCAAUGCAACCUCUCCGCCAGAAGCCCAUCACCACGCUGCCUUAAGCACGCCAGCUCCCGGAGAGCUUUUCUACCUCUCCAUGCUCCCAGCUCGGUCACGGGUCAGACUGGGAGGGCAGCAGCUUGGGUGGCAGCAACCCCCCCAGAUCAGACACGUUAUUAAAUCCCCAGCAAUCGGGUCACGUAUCCAACUUCUAUUUUCCUUCCGCACUAAAGCCAACCUUCCUGUGACAAAUUCUUCCCUUGUUCCCGGCUCCGUAUCCGUUACCAGCACCGUGCACUCCUCCAAAAACCAGAUCCUCCUUGAGCCCACCAGCACAGGAACUGCCCUCCUCGCUGGUCCAGUGCCCUUCCUCUUUUUUUUGUAUUUUUUUUUAUUUAGACUUGACACCUUCUUCGUCCCGGCAGCCUUUACCGGCGUGAUUUCAUCCCGAGUGGGUGGAGAGCUCGCUCUCCCCCGCUCGCAGCCUCUUCCCGACGGCUCCUGGGAUCCCCGCCAGCUCCUCUCCACCCACGGCCUCUCGCGUCGAGGCGAACCACGCGGCUCCUGCUGCUCCCCGUGCCAGAGGAGGCAUCGCACAGCUGGGAGGAUGCCUCGGGGAGACAGAGAGGAGCUGAGGAUGCCCUCACAGCAGGCAUGGGUCCCUCCGUCUGCGCCCUUGGCCAGGAAAAGGGAAAAGGAGGAGCCCUCUGAGCACCAGAAGCACUUCUGGGCUGGGUGGGUGCUGGAGUUCUGGCAUGGGUACCCAGAGGUUGUGGUGUCCCCUCCUUGGAGAGCUCCAAAAGCCACCUGGAUGUGGCCUGGGCAGCAGCUCCGGGUGGCCCUGCUGGAGCAGGGUGGGAGCAGAGGGACCCCAAAGGUCCCUUCCCACCACAACCAGUCUGGGGUUCUGGGAACUCAGCUUAGGAACAGCUUGGCAGGUCCCAUACCAAAUGGAACUUGGUCAUUUUUUAAUUUUCUCCCAUAUUAA